Molecule: long non-coding RNA, 532 nt
Filed under: Homo sapiens (human)
Lineage: Eukaryota; Metazoa; Chordata; Mammalia; Primates; Hominidae
Description: non-protein coding lnc-IYD-4:3
Source: RNAcentral
AGCAGGCACGGAAGCCCUCGUGGGAGCCGGGAGUUCCAUGGCGAGGCCCCCCGCUGCUGCCCCAAGAAACGCUUGGGUUUGAGAUCUCAGGAAACACGGAGAGCCCCCACUGCGAUGGUGACGGCCCUGGAGUGGGUGGUGCUAAGGAAAGGGCAGCACACCCUUGAGGGCGGGAAGUGAAUGGGUUGCCACAUUGUAAGAACACUCAAGAAGCCAUGCAGAGAGGGCCACAUGAUGAGGAAAUGAAGCCUUCUUCCAACAGCCGGCACCGACUUGCCAGCCAUGUGAGUGCACCAUUUUGGAAUCAAAUCUUCCACCUCUAAUUAGGCCUUCAGAUGGCUGCAGCCCUAGAUGACUUUUGACUACAAUUUCUUGAGACACCCUGAACCAGAACCACUCAGUUAAGCUGCUCCCAAUUUCCUGAUCCAUAGAAAUGGUGUAAGAUAAUAAAUGUUUAUCGUUGUUUUAAGCCACUAAAUUCAGAAGUAAUUUAUUCCAUAGGAACAGCUAAAAUAAAUACAGUAUAUCCAGA